UGGGGAAUUUUCUGCAAUGGGCGAAAGCCUGACAGAGCGACGCCGCGUGGGUGAUGAAGUCUUUCGGGAUGUAAAGCCCUUUCAGCAGGGAAGAAGACAGUGACGGUACCUGCAGAAGAAGCAUCGGCUAACUACGUGCCAGCAGCCGCGGUAAGACGUAGGAUGCAAGCGUUGUCCGGAUUUAUUGGGCGUAAAGAGUACGUAGGUGGUUGCGUAAGUUUGAGGUGAAAGCCCACGGCUCAACCGUGGAUCCGCCUUGGAUACUGUGUAACUAGAGGGCAGCAGAGGAAAGUGGAAUUCCCAGUGUAGCGGUGAAAUGCGUAGAUAUUGGGAGGAACACCAGUGGCGAAAGCGACUUUCUGGGCUGUUUCUGACGCUGAGGUACGAAAGCCAGGGGAGCAAACGGG
This 407-nucleotide ribosomal RNA is filed under the name uncultured bacterium. RNAcentral describes it as "bacterial SSU rRNA". It matches the Rfam family "Bacterial small subunit ribosomal RNA", at positions 355 to 776 of the family's 1533-position model. The record is from RNAcentral.